RNAcentral lists this ribosomal RNA (406 nucleotides) under uncultured bacterium. RNAcentral's name for it is "partial 16S ribosomal RNA". It matches the Rfam family "Bacterial small subunit ribosomal RNA", at positions 30 to 526 of the family's 1533-position model. The record is from RNAcentral.
AUUGAACGCUGGCGGCAGGCCUAACACAUGCAAGUCGAGCGAGCGGCGGACGGGUGAGUAAUGUCUGGGAAACUGCGUGAUGGAGGGGGAUAAAUACUGGAAACGGGAGCUAAUACCGCAUACCAUCAGAUGUGCGCCGAUGGGGUUGGCUAGUAGGUGGGGUAACGGCUCACUUUGGCGACGAUCCCUCGCUGGUCUGAGAGGAUGACCAGCCACACUGGAACUGAGACACGGUCCAGACUCCUACGGGAGGCAGCAGUGGGGAAUAUUGCACAAUGGGCGCAAGCCUGAUGCAGCCAUGCCGCGUGUGUGAAGAAGGCCUUCGGGUUGUAAAGCACUUUCAGCGGGGAGGCGUUACCCGCAGAAGAAGCACCGGCUAACUCCGUGCCAGCCGCCGCGGUAAUAC